RNAcentral lists this ribosomal RNA (1372 nucleotides) under uncultured bacterium. RNAcentral describes it as "bacterial SSU rRNA". It matches the Rfam family "Bacterial small subunit ribosomal RNA", at positions 28 to 1381 of the family's 1533-position model. The record is from RNAcentral.
GAUGAACGCUGGCGGCGUGCCUAAUACAUGCAAGUCGAGCGAACGGACGAGAAGCUUGCUUCUCUGAUGUUAGCGGCGGACGGGUGAGUAACACGUGGAUAACCUACCUAUAAGACUGGGAUAACUUCGGGAAACCGGAGCUAAUACCGGAUAAUAUUUUGAACCGCAUGGUUCAAAAGUGAAAGACGGUCUUGCUGUCACUUAUAGAUGGAUCCGCGCUGCAUUAGCUAGUUGGUAAGGUAACGGCUUACCAAGGCAACGAUGCAUAGCCGACCUGAGAGGGUGAUCGGCCACACUGGAACUGAGACACGGUCCAGACUCCUACGGGAGGCAGCAGUAGGGAAUCUUCCGCAAUGGGCGAAAGCCUGACGGAGCAACGCCGCGUGAGUGAUGAAGGUCUUCGGAUCGUAAAACUCUGUUAUUAGGGAAGAACAUAUGUGUAAGUAACUGUGCACAUCUUGACGGUACCUAAUCAGAAAGCCACGGCUAACUACGUGCCAGCAGCCGCGGUAAUACGUAGGUGGCAAGCGUUAUCCGGAAUUAUUGGGCGUAAAGCGCGCGUAGGCGGUUUUUUAAGUCUGAUGUGAAAGCCCACGGCUCAACCGUGGAGGGUCAUUGGAAACUGGAAAACUUGAGUGCAGAAGAGGAAAGUGGAAUUCCAUGUGUAGCGGUGAAAUGCGCAGAGAUAUGGAGGAACACCAGUGGCGAAGGCGACUUUCUGGUCUGUAACUGACGCUGAUGUGCGAAAGCGUGGGGAUCAAACAGGAUUAGAUACCCUGGUAGUCCACGCCGUAAACGAUGAGUGCUAAGUGUUAGGGGGUUUCCGCCCCUUAGUGCUGCAGCUAACGCAUUAAGCACUCCGCCUGGGGAGUACGACCGCAAGGUUGAAACUCAAAGGAAUUGACGGGGACCCGCACAAGCGGUGGAGCAUGUGGUUUAAUUCGAAGCAACGCGAAGAACCUUACCAAAUCUUGACAUCCUUUGACAACUCUAGAGAUAGAGCUUUCCCCUUCGGGGGACAAAGUGACAGGUGGUGCAUGGUUGUCGUCAGCUCGUGUCGUGAGAUGUUGGGUUAAGUCCCGCAACGAGCGCAAUCCUUAAGCUUAGUUGCCAUCAUUAAGUUGGGCACUCUAAGUUGACUGCCGGUGACAAACCGGAGGAAGGUGGGGAUGACGUCAAAUCAUCAUGCCCCUUAUGAUUUGGGCUACACACGUGCUACAAUGGACAAUGCAAAGGGCAGCGAAACCGCGAGGUCAAGCAAAUCCCAUAAAGUUGUUCUCAGUUCGGAUUGUAGUCUGCAACUCGACUACAUGAAGCUGGAAUCGCUAGUAAUCGUAGAUCAGCAUGCUACGGUGAAUACGUUCCCGGGUCU